UACGGAGGGUGCGAGCGUUGUCCGGAAUCACUGGGCGUAAAGGGCGCGUAGGCGGCCUGAUAAGUAGGGGGUGAAAUCCUGCGGCUUAACCGCAGGGCUGCCUUCUAAACUGUCAGGCUGGAGCACAGUAGAGGCAGGUGGAAUUCCCGGUGUGGCGGUGGAAUGCGUAGAGAUCGGGAAGAACAUCAGUGGCGAAGGCGGCCUGCUGGGCUGUUGCUGACGCUGAGGCGCGACAGCGUGGGGAGCAAACAGG
RNAcentral lists this ribosomal RNA (253 nucleotides) under uncultured bacterium. RNAcentral describes it as "partial 16S ribosomal RNA". It matches the Rfam family "Bacterial small subunit ribosomal RNA", at positions 524 to 776 of the family's 1533-position model. The record is from RNAcentral.